Molecule: non-coding RNA, 160 nt
Filed under: Candidatus Omnitrophota bacterium
Lineage: Bacteria; Pseudomonadati; Candidatus Omnitrophota
Description: 6S RNA
Rfam family: 6S / SsrS RNA
About the family: E. coli 6S RNA was the first non coding RNA to be sequenced, but its function was unknown until recently. It consists of 184 nucleotides that fold into an extended hairpin structure with a large single-stranded internal bulge.
Source: RNAcentral
AUUUAUCUGGUGAGUUUGUGAAGUGGGAUUAUAAGAAUUUUGCCAACAUAUUAAAUUGGGGAAUUUAACUUUAAUAAUUCCGAGGAGUUGUUAAGAGGGUUCCCACCUGGUUUUACCAGGCUAUAAAUUCUUGUUUCGCGCACGGCUUGUUGGAAAGGGG